AGGUCAAUCAUGAGAAUUUAUAUUAUCUUUAACAGAGAUGAUGACAUAAAAAUCAGGCUCAAUAAGAUUAUGUGGAGGCCC
Molecule: small nucleolar RNA, 81 nt
Organism: Diceros bicornis minor
Lineage: Eukaryota; Metazoa; Chordata; Mammalia; Perissodactyla; Rhinocerotidae
Product: small nucleolar RNA SNORD115
Exons: 1
Source: RefSeq, a predicted model, not a curated record